This 528-nucleotide ribosomal RNA is filed under the name uncultured Ralstonia sp. Its description in RNAcentral is "bacterial SSU rRNA". It matches the Rfam family "Bacterial small subunit ribosomal RNA", at positions 384 to 906 of the family's 1533-position model. The record is from RNAcentral. Lineage: Bacteria; Pseudomonadati; Pseudomonadota; Betaproteobacteria; Burkholderiales; Burkholderiaceae.
UGAUCCAGCAUGCCGCGUGUGUGAAGAAGGCCUUCGGGUUGUAAAGCACUUUUGUCCGGAAAGAAAUGGCUCUGGUUAAUACCUGGGGUCGAUGACGGUACCGGAAGAAUAAGGACCGGCUAACUACGUGCCAGCAGCCGCGGUAAUACGUAGGGUCCAAGCGUUAAUCGGAAUUACUGGGCGUAAAGCGUGCGCAGGCGGUUGUGCAAGACCGAUGUGAAAUCCCCGAGCUUAACUUGGGAAUUGCAUUGGUGACUGCACGGCUAGAGUGUGUCAGAGGGGGGUAGAAUUCCACGUGUAGCAGUGAAAUGCGUAGAGAUGUGGAGGAAUACCGAUGGCGAAGGCAGCCCCCUGGGAUAACACUGACGCUCAUGCACGAAAGCGUGGGGAGCAAACAGGAUUAGAUACCCUGGUAGUCCACGCCCUAAACGAUGUCAACUAGUUGUUGGGGAUUCAUUUCCUUAGUAACGUAGCUAACGCGUGAAGUUGACCGCCUGGGGAGUACGGUCGCAAGAUUAAAACUCAAAG